This 73-nucleotide transfer RNA is filed under the name Vermamoeba vermiformis. RNAcentral describes it as "tRNA-Ala". It matches the Rfam family "tRNA". From Rfam's summary of the family: Transfer RNA (tRNA) molecules are approximately 80 nucleotides in length. Their secondary structure includes four short double-helical elements and three loops (D, anti-codon, and T loops). Further hydrogen bonds mediate the characteristic L-shaped molecular structure. tRNAs have two regions of fundamental functional importance: the anti-codon, which is responsible for specific mRNA codon recognition, and the 3' end, to which the tRNAs corresponding amino acid is attached (by aminoacyl-tRNA synthetases). tRNAs cope with the degeneracy of the genetic code in two manners: having more than one tRNA (with a specific anti-codon) for a particular amino acid; and 'wobble' base-pairing, i.e. permitting non-standard base-pairing at the 3rd anti-codon position. The record is from RNAcentral. RNAcentral also lists the same sequence under 2 other names. Lineage: Eukaryota; Tubulinea; Echinamoebida; Vermamoebidae.
GGGGUUGUAGCUCAAUUGGGAGAGCGGUUGUUUUGCAUGUAAAAGGUUGCAGGUUCAAGUCCUGUCAACUCCA